Long non-coding RNA from Rosa rugosa (rugosa rose), 795 nucleotides. RefSeq lists it as uncharacterized. NCBI's taxonomy places the organism in Eukaryota, Viridiplantae, Streptophyta, Magnoliopsida, Rosales, Rosaceae. The transcript has 5 exons. The record is from RefSeq and is a predicted model, not a curated record.
UUCUCCGUUGUUACACCCAAAUCGUUGAUCACAAUCGUGCCACUACGGAUUCUUCCGCUGCUGUAUAAGUGACAUUGAAAGAGUUUGACUCUAUCAAAGUUCAAACACUGAGAUGCAAAGGAGGAGACCACGAAUCAAUUUGUGUUUGUUUUGGAAAAGAAGGAAUUUCUCAACUCUGGAAGCUUGAAAAUUUGCUGUAUUGCUUCUUCCUGUGAGAAAUUGGGUAAAGAACUUCUCCUCCUUGCUCUCACAUCUAGCUUUGUAAUGAAGGCUAAGUACUGAGACCCUUUCUAUUGCAUUUCACAAGAAUAUUGGCUACAGCUAUCCAUUAGUCUGCAUCCAAUUCAAAGUCUCCAUCGUUUUGUGGGUUUAAAAUAGAACAGCAGCUAAAGUGCCAAAGCUCCAGAGUUUAAACUCAAGGGGAAACGUUCUAGACGGUUAGAGAGGUACAGUUAAGAGUUUGGAAGACAGGUUGUGCUAUUUAGACUUUUGUUGUGCUAUCUACAACAACUCAGCUGAAAUUUCAAAGGAGCUAUCAUCUGUUGCAAAUGAUGAAUCUGACUUUGUAGACACAUUUGAGGAGCUUAUGUAAAAUAGUUGGUCGCCACUACAAGCCUAAACCAUUUGUCAAGCCUAACCAUGUUUGCAAUAUGUACAUAAACACCUACUAUGGAUAGCAUAUCUAACUUUGAAAUCUUAAACCAUUUGUCAAGCCUAACCAUGUUUGCAAUAUGUACAUAAACACCUACUAUGGAUAGCAUAUCUAACUUUGAAAUCUUAAACCAUUUGUCAAGC